RNAcentral lists this RNase P RNA (379 nucleotides) under Lachnospiraceae bacterium. RNAcentral's name for it is "RNase P RNA component class A". It matches the Rfam family "Bacterial RNase P class A". From Rfam's summary of the family: Ribonuclease P (RNase P) is a ubiquitous endoribonuclease, found in archaea, bacteria and eukarya as well as chloroplasts and mitochondria. Its best characterised activity is the generation of mature 5'-ends of tRNAs by cleaving the 5'-leader elements of precursor-tRNAs. Cellular RNase Ps are ribonucleoproteins. The record is from RNAcentral. Lineage: Bacteria; Bacillati; Bacillota; Clostridia; Lachnospirales; Lachnospiraceae.
UAAGCAGAGCAGGCGGUCGCGUGCAGGAGCAGCUCGUAAGGAGCUGCUCUUUGUGCGAGGAAAGUCCGGGCUUCACAGGGCAGGAUGCCGGAUAACGUCCGGUGGAGGUGACUCCCAGGAAAGUGCAGCAGAAAAGAACCGCUGGCUAUGCCAGUAAGGGUGAAAAGGCAGUGUAAGAGACUACCGUUUUCGUGGUAACACGAAAAGCCGUGUAAACCCCAUCCGAAGCAAGACCAAGAACCGGAUCUUCAGAUCCGGAGCGGGAACCAUGGGCCGGCCCGGUCCGUUCCCGGGUAGGUUGCUAGAGACCGCCGGCAACGGCGGCCCCAGACAGAUGACCGUCCAACGACAGAACCCGGCUUAUCGCUCUGCUUACUUG